RNAcentral lists this long non-coding RNA (1221 nucleotides) under Anas platyrhynchos platyrhynchos (common mallard). Its description in RNAcentral is "lncRNA (ENSAPLG00000004809.2)". The record is from RNAcentral. Lineage: Eukaryota; Metazoa; Chordata; Aves; Anseriformes; Anatidae.
GAUUCGCCGGAUUUGCUAACUGGCUCACAAUUUAACUUUAGUAUCUACAAAUACAAGCACUAUCGGUGGCAGAAACGAAUUCUGCAGAUUGAUUUCAACACAAAGACAAUUUUUAACUUUGAAAAAGGAAUUAUUAAGAAACAGUUCCCUUUCUCACAAGUCAAAGCCUGUGAAGAUACUGAAAGAAGACGCUUCAGCAUUGUGUUUCAUGGGCGACAAGAUUAUGAGCUGGAAGCAGUGUCUCUUGAUGAUAAAAGGAAGAUAAUAUACCUUCUGAGCAGAGUUAUACAGAGUAACUCAUACAAAAGACCAGAAGAGUCCUGCUCUAGAAGAUCUGCAGAAUAUGAUGUGAUACAUGAAGGACUGCUGGAUUUGCAGCAGAACAGUUUUAUAUCCACUGAAUGGGUGAAGUACUUGGUACAACUACGUGAAGGAGAAUUGACUUUGUAUUGCAUAGGUCUGGGAAGAGAGAGCAAGAAUGCACACUCUGUAACGAAUACAAUUAAUUUGUCAGGUGGUGAUGUGAGUGUCAGCAAGGAGAAUGAAUGUGGUACCUUUUCAGUCCAGACCAAAGAACACAAUUAUUUGUUUCGAAUACCCUUUACUGUCCAAAAUAACAGGACAGAGGAUGUCAGCAAGCUCCAGAAUGAAUGGGUGUCUCUCAUAGAAAGGUACUGUCAGCUGUGCAAGGGUACCUCUCUCUCUCAGGAGGGAUCUGAAGGAGACACCUCCUCUGAAGCUGAUUACGAGAAUGUUACCGUAGCUCUGAAUGAAGAGAAAGAGGAGGCACUCUAUUUCGGUUUGAGUUCUGCAACAAGUGAUUUGAACAAACCUUUAAACUCCUGGACAAAGCCUGCAGAAGGGGAAGCAGCCCUGGCAUCACCAUCUCCAAUUCCCAUAAGUAAGGCAGAGGUGCCACCAGCCCCACCUGUGUUCCCACAGCCCUGCAGCCUUUCUCCCUUGACAAAGAGAACUAAAGCCUUUCACUGGGAUGUUGUUCCUUGUGAUAAGAUUCAAAAAUCCAUCUGGGGAUCAUGUGAUCCAUGCAAGAAAAAAAUAGACAUUUCCAGACUCUGUGAUCAGUUCCAGAUCCAGGACUUGGCUGCAUUUUCAGGCAGUGAACCUCCAGUCAAACAGCACAUCCUGUUAGAUCAAAAAGUUGCACAUAACUUCAGUAAGUGUAUUAAGAACUGUAUACUCCUAUCUGAAGAACUGGGGUGA